CGGGCUUAUGUGUCUGCCGAUAUCAGUCUCAUAUAUAAAAUAAGGCCUGUGUCCAGUGCCCGUUAUCCCUCCAUGUUCAAGCAGGGUACCAGUAUUAGCCGUGCUUACUUGCUAGAUGUAGACCCUUCAGAAUGUCUGAUGGGCGGAGUGGGUAUACCGCUAGCCGCUGUCCGCCGUCCCUGAGAAGUGUUCCGGGUUGUUUCCAGUUCCAGAC
Pelobates cultripes (western spadefoot toad) is the source of this 214-nucleotide non-coding RNA. The record is from the annotation of a GenBank genome assembly. NCBI's taxonomy places the organism in Eukaryota, Metazoa, Chordata, Amphibia, Anura, Pelobatidae.